Molecule: ribosomal RNA, 301 nt
Filed under: uncultured bacterium
Lineage: Bacteria
Description: partial 16S ribosomal RNA
Rfam family: Bacterial small subunit ribosomal RNA
Source: RNAcentral
CAGCCGCCGCGGUAAUACGUAGGGUGCAAGCGUUAAUCGGAAUUACUGGGCGUAAAGCGUGCGCAGGCGGUUAUAUAAGUCAGAUGUGAAAUCCCCGGGCUCAACCUGGGAACUGCAUUUGAGACUGUAUGGCUAGAGUGUGUCAGAGGGGGGUAGAAUUCCACGUGUAGCAGUGAAAUGCGUAGAUAUGUGGAGGAAUACCGAUGGCGAAGGCAGCCCCCUGGGCCAAUACUGACGCUCAUGCACGAAAGCGUGGGGAGCAAACAGGAUUAGAUACCCCUGUAGUCCCUGUCUCUUAUAC